Molecule: non-coding RNA, 3188 nt
Organism: Cherax quadricarinatus
Lineage: Eukaryota; Metazoa; Arthropoda; Malacostraca; Decapoda; Parastacidae
Source: RefSeq, a predicted model, not a curated record
AAAUGAAGGAAAAUCUUACAAUGGACUAUUUCAUUUUUUAUAAUAAGCAUGUUUGCACAGGUUAUUGCCUGGGAAUUUUCUGAAGUCAAUAAAUUAACUACUAAUAUCCAAUUAAGAGACUUUAGGUAUACAGUAUUCACUUUUUACACCCUUUUCCAUUCAGGAGAAUGGUUAUUCAUGCUACCACCAGUAGCAUGGAAGUUGGUGGAGGUAUUAAUGGAACUAAAUAAUUCCAUUUGUUCACGGAUAUAAGCACAAAGCAGCCAAGAUAUAUUUUCAGAAAGUCUUGAGGAAGGAGUGGGGAACAGGACAUGUUCAAGGAAACACUACACAUUAUCUACAAAGUCAUUAUAAUUAAUCUAUUCAAAUUAUAGUUAACUUUAACCAAGUAAAAAAAAAUAACUGGUGAAUGAUGACAAAGCAUUUGGAAGCAAAAUAUAUAAAUAAUUAAUUGUUCAGACAUGAAAGAUGCUCAAUAAAGUAAUGUCUAUUACCUAAUACAUAAUUAUGUAUGAACAAACUUAUCUCUGGUAAAAGCAACAUAAACAUUACAUUAGCUGAAGACAGUGCUAGUGAAAGCAGAUGAGUAAGAGUCUAGUCAUGGUUACUUCAUCACAUGAACCAGACUCUUACCUACCAGCUCUCAACAGCAGGAAUGGAAGCUUUCAUUCAUUUACAAAACUCUCUUAACAAUAAAAUAAUGGUGAAUAUAACAUUCAUAUUGGGAAAAUAAUAAAAAAAAAAAUCAAAAUGAGUGGUAUCCUAUACUGAGCAGUAUAAAAUUAUGAACUGUUCAGCAUGAUUGGAAGAAAGGUAAUGGUACCUCAAAAAAUAAAAAAUUAUUUGCUUGUUAGUCCUGUUUCUCUUUCAGGUCUUGUUAUUUUAUCACACAGCUGAAAAAACAUUAAUGGAAAGUGAGUAGCAAAUCUGCCACAGUAUUUAUUCUCCUUGUUACUGUACAUUUCAGAAAGGAAGCAUUAAAUUUGUUGUGUGUUACACAGUGAAAGUGAAAAGGAAACAGGAAUAAAGCAGUUUCAAUCCAAGGAAGUGUAGUUCCAAUUCUUUGGAUCAAGAGCCCUUCACUGGCAUCAAGAGACUUCCCAUGAGGGUCAAUUUAAGACUUAAAGGUUUGAAUGCAUUUUCCUCAGUUACUAAUAUCUGUGAAUGAUGAAGAAGCCCUACAACUUUUCUCUUGAUAAUCUCCAUAUAGAUUUUUUAGUUUUGUAUUUUUUAUUUUGGGUUAUACCUUUCAGUCUUCAUCUAACAACUUGCAUACUGUACUUUUUUUUUUUUUUAACACAUCAGCCAUUCCCCACCGAAGCAGGGCGACCCAAAAAGAAAGAAAAAACUUUCAUCAUCAUUCAUCACUGUCACCAUCACUUGAACAUAAUUACUAUCUUUGCAGAGGCGCUCAGAUAUGAUAGUUUAGAUGUCCCUCCAAACCCCUCCUUUAAAGUGCGGGCAUUGUAUUUCCCAUUUCCAGGACUCAAGUCCAGCUAACUUGUUUCCCUGAAUCCCUUCACAAAAUAUUACCCUGCUCACACUCCAACAGCUUGUCAGGUCCCAAAAACCAUUCGUCUCCAUUCAAUCCUAUCUAACACACUCACACACGCUUGCUGAAAGUCCAAGCCCCUCGCCCAUAAAACCUUCUUUACCCCCUCCCUCCAACCUUUUUGAGGCUGAACACUACAAAUUUUCUGCAUAAUAUUUACACCACACAUUGCCCUUAGACAUGACAUCACUGCCUCCAGCCUCCUCCUCACUGAAGCAUUUACAACCCAUGCUUCACAUCCAUAUCAGUGUUGGUAGCACUAUACUCUUGUACAUUCCCUUCUUUGCCUCCAUGGAUAACGUUUUUUGUCUCCACAGAUACCUCAACGCACCACUCUCCUUUUUUCCUUCAUCAAUUCUAUGGUUAACCUCAUCCUUCAUAAACCCAUCCACUGGCAGGUCAACUCCCAAAUACAUGAAAACAUUCACUUCUUCCAUACCCCCUCCCUCCAAUGUGAUAUCCAAUUUUUCUUUAUCUAAAUCGUUGGAUACCCUCAUCACCUUACUCUUAUCUAUUUUCACUUUCAAUUUUCUACCUUUACACACUCUCCCAAGCUUGUCCAGCAACCUUGCAACUUUUCUUUAGAAUCUCCCAAAAGCACAGUAUCAUCAGCAAAAAGUAACUGUGCCAACUCCCAGUUUGUAUUUGUUCCCAUAAUUUAAUCCCACCACUCUCCCCAACACCCUAGCAUUUACUACUUUUAUAACCCUAUCUAUAAAUUUGUUACACAACCAUGGUGACAUUAAACAUCCCUGUCUAAGAUGUACUUUUACUGGGAUGUAACCUUCCUCUCUCCUACACAUCCUAACCUGAGCCUCACUAUCCUCAUAAAAACUAUCUAUUCCAUACACUUACAACAUCUGUUACAUUGCUCCCCUAUCCACUCUACCAUACGCCUUUUCUAAAUCCAUAAAAGCAAAGAAAACUUCCCUACCUUUAUGGAAAUACUGUUCACAUACAUGCUUCAAUAUAAACACUUAAUCUAAACAUCCUUUACCCACUCUAAAGCCUCCUUGUUCAUCUGCAAUCCUGCUUUCUGUCUUACCUCUAAUUCUUUCAACAAUAACAAUAAUUAUUAUUGUACUUUUAUCAUUUAUUAUUAAUGGAAAGUGCAUGCAUGUUCAAAAGUACAACCUAUGCAUCUAUUAAUUACUGUGUAAACAUUUCCAUAUUCAAACAUACAAACCUAAACAACUUGUGCUUAUUAAGUAUCCAUCUAUGUAUGUUACAGACAUACCUAUAACUAAUUUCAAGUUAUCUGACUCCUGAAGCCCAGCCUGAGUCCAGAUUUCAAGGCUGAUUACCUGGUCAAUCAAGUUGUUUCUAAGUGUCCUGCAGAUCUACAUAGCCAUCACAACCUAGCUGAUCAGGCACUUGUAGACAGCCUGUACUGUCUGCACAGACAGCCCAUGCUGUCUGCCAGCUCAGUUCAUAUUUCAUGCCACUAAAGUGCUGCCCUAUGGGCCUGCUUCAGGUCUGUGGGAAGCUGGUCCCACACACUCUCACUCACACAGAGGCCUAGCAGGAAGACACAAGGCCUACUACUAGCUCUCUCGUGGGAUGGCCCUCCCGGACCAUGGGCACAACACACAAGCCUGUGUACCCACCACGACUUAACAAUAAAGUAAGAAGCCUC